UUAGCGCGACAACUUGAGCUCUCUCACAGUCUCACUAGUUUGGGAAGCCGCAAUGGCAGCAGACAAGGCUGAAGAAGACGAGUCGGUUCCGGCGGCAGCUCCGCGUGGCCGUUACGUCAACAAGAGAAAGGUCUCAGGUACCCACCUUCAAAUUAGACCCUGAAAUUUUCUUCCUUUUAUGAUUUUGGUGAAUUGGGUUUUGGUGUGUCUUGGUUUCACAAGAGGAAGAAGAAUAUUGAACUUCUUGCAUCAGGGACUUCAUACGAGAGUCAUUUGUGUUAGAAAUAGCUGAAUUGAAUUCCAGUGUUUGAGGAAUCAGGUGAUUCCACAUUCGGCUGCUGUGGUGGUGUUGAACUAGUACUAGAAGCUGCUGACACUGCUGAAGGAGAUAGGUUCGGAGAUUUAGACUUUUAACUGUUGAACAUAUUAGACUGAGUAUCAGUGAUUGAUUUCUUAGAACUGUUUUUCACUUUCGUUAGAUUAGUUAGAGUUGUUAUCUGUGUUGUGUUGAUUUUGGGUUCUUGCUGUAAACGAGUUCAGGGAUGAAGGGUUUGGUGAUGGGAAUUUGAGGUUUGGGACUGUAGGGGUUUGGUAAAGGCUUGAAUUUGGUAACUGGGUUUAGAUCAAAAUUCUGGCUUUUAUAUGGGAACUGUGGAUUUGGUGAGAAAGAUUGAAAAUUUGAUGAUGGGUUGAAGAUUGUAGAAUAGACGAGCUAUACGACAAUCUGAAAGAUUGAACAUUCUCUAUGUGAGAAUGUUCAAUAUUUGAUGAUGGAUCCCAUAUGCCAACCGUGAAAUAUUGUAGGAAGCUUGCAGAUCGACCGGAUUGCAUAUAUUAACCGAGAAAUGUGAUAUUUUAUUCAUUUACAUUGGGACCGGUGUUUAAGAACUGUUUAGAUUCAUUACAGUCAGUUGAGCAGUAGCAUUUUUUUAUAACAAAGCUAAGAAUAUCCAACAUGCCAACCGCGAGAUAUUGUUGGGAGUCUUGGGAGUCUGACCAUGCAUAGCUCACAGAUUGUCGUAUAGCUCAAAGAGAAUGUAGUAUAACUUGAACUCCAUGUUGUGGACGAACUGUAAGAAACUGAAAAGGCGAGUGGACAUAAGCUGGGGAAAGGGUAAAUGAGUAGUGUUGUAGAAUCAUUGAGAGCGCAAUCUUUGCUUCAUUGGAAGCGAAGUUGAUUCCUGCACACAUUCUAGGUCCCAUUCCAAAGGGUGAGAAUGAACCCAUGUUAUCAUUAGUAGCUUUAGCAACCCCUUCAGAGAAUCUCUCUGGUUUGAAAAGUGCCGCUUCUUGUCCCCAUAUUUGAGAAUCAUGAUGAAGUGCUACAGUUGGGAUAAGCAAUUCAACAUUUGCAGGAACUUGGACUGCUCCCAGUUUUACUUCUCUUGGAACUAUCCUUCCGAUCAAAUUAACAGGAGGAUAUAACCUUAGAGUCUCAUUAAUAAUCAUGCUCAUCUGCAUGCAUCAAAAUAUAAAAAGAUAAGAGAUGAAACUGAGAUUAGUAAACUAACUUAGUUGCAGAUGCCCGUCAAUUAGACGAUCAUAUAUGUGUGUGCGUGUGUUUGUGUGUGUUUAUAUCUAUUUUUCAAUUGAGAUAGUGAUGUUCUUACUGUUUUGAGUUUGGAAAUGCCAUCAGAAUUUGGAGUUUCUUUGCCAAAUAACUGCAACACCUCCUUUCUUGCUUCCUCUUGCCAUUCAGGAUGUUGUGCCAGAAGAAAAACAGUCCAAGAAAGCAAAGUACUAGUUGUCUCCUGUCCAACAAAGUAUAAUGCCUUGCACUCUUCAACCACAUUGUCUAUCGAAAAUUUCUGGUCGUCAUUGAUGUCAUGAUGAGACUUCAAAAGUAAGCCAAGAAAAUCACUCCCAAAGCUCUCUCCUUCCCCGCUGCUUGCCUUCUGUUCUCUUUUCUUAACAAUCUCCAUUACAGAGUCUUGUAUUUCUUUCUCAAGCUUGUCUGCUUCAAUCUCACCGCUGGUUCUAUAAACCUUGCUGCUAUUUUGAAUGAGAAGCAACAUGCAUCAACCAAUUAAUCAAUAUUCAAUAGCUAAAAGAGAAAGAUCGAUUCUGGGAAGCUACCUGAUUCCAGGAAACCUGGUCUUGUACUUGUAAAGAUUUUUGAAUACUAUGAUGCUUAAAUUCUUCAACAUUUCAAAAAUGUUUUGUCCUUCUAAGUAGCUGCUGCCAAACGCUGUCCUGGCAAUCACUUCUGAAGUCAACAAUCUAAAUUCCUCAAACACAUCAGUCUCUUUUCCUUCAUGAUUUUUCCACCUUUCUAUCAUCGCCUCUGCACUAGCUGUCAUGUCUGGAAACAUAGCCUUGUAACAAAAUACCAUCAUACAACUAUUAAGUUUAAUAUUCUUGUUUUAGGAGAAUUUUAGAAAUAACUGUGUUUUUUUGAAACUUUCUUGAACUAAAACAUAUUGAUUUUUUUUUCAAUUAAAACUAAAACUGAAACAUAUUGAUUGAAGGACCUAAAUAAGUAUAUAUGGAACAGUCCUAGUCUAACCCAUGAUCUCCACGAUCAUAAUUUGAGAAGUAACAAACAGCCACAGGUCCAGAACUCAUGGUAUCUAAACAUAUUGCAGUAAGAAAGUAAGAAACAACUAUGAAGAGUAACUUACUUUUAAGCUCUCUCCAUGGAAGGCAUGGUUGGCCAGCUUUCUCAAAUUGGCCCAUUUUUCAUCUUCUGUCAUGGCAAGGCUAUCUCCAAAUAGCUUCUUCACAAUGUCACUAGGCUUUGGUUUUGGAAAAGCUCCAUCUUUGUUAUUGAAAAUCUCUUUGCAUGACUCAGGUUCUGUAACAACCAAAACUGGUUGAACACCAUACCACAUAAGAAAGUUCUUCCCUGUGUAACACAGCGCUUGGACCAAAUUAAAACAUUGAACAGAGUUUGAUAAUAAACUAUAUUUAGUUAAGUAACUAAGAGUUUGUGAUACCAUAUCUCUUCGACCACGAGUGAAUAUGAGGAUGAAGUCGAGGAAAUAUAUCAUGUGAUAAGUUUCUGGGCAUGAGCGCAGCUUCCUUUUGCAUGUUGAUGAUUUCUUUGCCGUUUCCAUACAGAAGUCUGUAUGGAGGACCUUUGAUUCCCCUCAGACUCAUCAGUUUCUGAAUCCGAAUAGGAGUCCACCAUAGUUUGUGAAACACCUUGAUUAGAGCUAAGAGAAGAAGAAACAGACACAGAAACCUUAACAUCAUGAUCAUCUUUCUUGUCAUUUUUCUUCCAGGCUCGGUCCGCUAUUUAACUUUUCUGGUAUUCAUUGAUAAUUAUUGUUGACUUUGACAUUUUGGCAGGCAAAGGAGUAUGACAAAUACUAGAGCCUAGAGAUCAAUCUUGUCCACAUCUUGAUGACACUAUAUGAAUAUGAAAUAAAAUGCCGUGGAGUAACUAAACAGGUAAAAAAACUGAGUAUGAACUGGUCAAAUGCCACCACUGGUGUGAAAGUUAAAUACGAAUAGUUAUUUUUAUUUUAUAAGCUACAAUAUGUUCUAGAUGGAAUGUAAGAUUUUAUGGGGAAAUUUUGGUCUUCACCAGUCAGAGUGAGUGUAGAAUAACUUGAAGUCCAUGCUGUGGACGAACUGUGAGAAAUUGAAAGGGUGAGUGGACAUAAGCUGGGGAAAGUGUGAAGGAGUAGCGUUGUAGGAUCAUUGCAAGAGCAAUCUUUGCUUCUAUGGUGGCAAAGUUGAGGCCAACACAAGUUCUAGGUCCCAUUCCAAAGGGUAAGAAUGCAGCCAUGUUGUUGUUGGUAGCACUUGCAACACCUUCUGAGAAUCUCUCCGGUUUAAAAACUUUCACAUCUUGUCCCCAGAACUGAGGUUCAUGAUGAAGUGCUAGAUUUGGGACAAGAAAUUCAACAUUAGGAGGGAUAGUAAGGUUUCCCAGUCUAACUUCCUUAUCCACGUUUCGUGCGAGGGUUAUAACAGGAGGAUAUAGCCUCAGAGACUCAUUGAUGAUCAUACUCAUCUGCAUCAAAAUAUAAAGAGCAGCUCAAGAUUAAUCGAACAUUUAUCCCAUUUAGACAAACAUAUACAUGAGGGCAGAGUUUUUAUACUUUCUUACUGUUUUCAGUUUAGCAAGGCCAUCAGGACUUGGAGGUUGUUUGCCAAAUAUUUGCAGGACCUCCUUUCUCGCUUCCUCUUGCCAAUCCGGAUGGAGAGCCAGAAGAAAGACAGUCCAAACAAGCAAAGAGUUGGUGGUAUCUUGUCCAGCAAAGUAAAACGUCUUGCACUCCUCAACCAAUUCAUUCACUGAAAUCCUCUGCUUGUCAUUGGCACCAUGGUGAGCCUUCAAAAGUAACCCAAGAAAAUCAGUCCCAAAGCUGCCUUCUUCUCCGGUCACUGCCUCCCUCUCUCUUUUCUUUACAAUUUCUACUAUGGUGUCACGUAUUCCUUUCUCAAGCUUCUCUGAUUCUUUCUCAUCACUAGUUUUAUAAAACUUGCUGCAAUUUUGAAUUCAAUAAGCUUAAGAAGUAACACCACUCGGUAGUUGAUAUCAUACAUCUUCAUUUAAGUAAUCAAGAACAUCAAAUAAUAGAAUAUCCAAAAACAGCUAAAAGGAACAUCAAUUGUUUCAAUUUAGAGGAAGGUACCUGAUGCCAGGAACCCUGAAUUUAUGAGCGUUUCUGAAUAUUAAGGAGCCUAACUUCAUCAACAUGUCAAAAAUAUCCUUCCCUUCUAAAUAGCUGCUACCAAAUGCUGUCCUAGAAAUCACUUCUGAAGUGAACCUCCUGAAAUGUUCAUACACCUCAAUCUCUUUUUCUUCAUGCUUCUUCCACCCUUCGAGCAUUGUCUCAGCACUAGCUAUCAUGUCUGGAAUCAUAUUCUAGCAAAACCCAACAGUACCCUAAUUUAGUAAGCAAAUUGUCCUACAAUUUGUGCAUUUCUUAUGAACAAUUGAGACAAGUACCACUACUUAAUACUACUACACUAAUCUUUGCAAGGGUCACCAGUAAGUAGUACUAUUUAUUCACAAAUUAAACAACUUGGUUUUGAGUCAGAGAUAAAUGCAACAAAGGUAACUUACUUUUAAGCUGUCUCCAUGGAAGGCAUGGUUGGAAAGCUUUCUCAGUUUUGACCAUUUUUCACCUUCUGCCAUGGAAAUGCUGUCUCCCAAUAGCUUCUUCACAUAGAUACUGGGCUUCUGUUUGGUGAAAACCCCAUCUUUGUUGUGGAGUAUCUCCUUGACUAACUCGGGUUCUGUAAUCACCAAAACUGGUUGAAGACCAUACCAUUGUAGAUAAUUCUUCCCUGUAGCAGAUAGUAAUUAACCACAAAAAGAUCACAUCUUUGAAGUAAGACUUGACAAAUAAACAUUUUUGAGUUAAGAGUUGGCUAAUUACCAUAGAUCUUGGUCCAUGAGUGAAUGUGAGGCUGAACUGCAGAUAGUACUUCAUGUGAUAAGUUCAGUACGGGCCUGCUCAUGGCUUCCAUUAGCAUGUUGCUGAUUUCUUUGUUGUUUCCAUGGAUGAGUUUGUAAGAAGGACCUCUGAUUCCCUGAGCAGCCAUGAAUUUCUGUGUACGAGUCGGAAUCCACCAUAGUUUAUGAAAGAUCUUGAUGAAUAUCAGAGCCAACAGAAGAAGGAAAGUACACAAAGCAGUGGGAAGAGUGAGCACUGUGUCUCUCAUCCAACUCAUCAUUUUUUUUCUUGUUGUUUGUGUUCGCUUUUGGGAUCUCUGUGUUACAUAGCAUGUUUGAAACUUUGAAAGGCCAUUGUUGACCCAAGCUAGGUGCCAUUAUUGGCCACACACUUAAAAUCAAAGAUCACUUUCCAAAAUGGAAAUAACUUGAGUGAUCUGCUAUGGUCAUUUAUAGCUGACAAACACGAAUGAGAGAUGAACAAGUGUCAACAAUAAUUAUAAACAAACAUGUUAAAAACCCAAAACCCUUCAUGUUAUAUCCUUAAAUUACAAUCAAGUCUUUUAAAAUAGAUAUGUGUCCCAUGUUUAUUGAUUAUGGUCACCUUAAGGUGACCAACCCUUGUCACCGAAAUUAUUUGUCACUGUUUAUUUGUUUAUUGGGUACCCUUAAGGUAACCAACCCUUCCAAAAUUAUGUACUGAUCUAUCUCACUGUCUCAGAAUAGUCAGAACAUUAGUUUUCUUCUUACAGAUUUGGAUUAUUUGUCUACAGAGCGCAGUGGAAGUAAUCUUCAUGCAAAGCUGAUGCUGGAAACUAACUCCGGAAAUGGAUGAAUGCUUCUUCACAGUAUUCAUAUGUAUCCUUAAAAUAUAUCAGUCUUAAUGAAGGGUCUAUUAGUCUUUGAAAUUUGCUUGCUAG
Molecule: long non-coding RNA, 6273 nt
Filed under: Fragaria vesca (wild strawberry)
Lineage: Eukaryota; Viridiplantae; Streptophyta; Magnoliopsida; Rosales; Rosaceae
Description: long non-coding RNA (FVES_LNC002015)
Source: RNAcentral